GACGAACCGUGCGAACGUUAUUCGGAAUCACUGGGCUUAAAGCGCGUGUAGGCGGGCCGGCACGUCGGUGCCUGAAAGCCCCCGGCUCAACCGGGGAAUGGGGGCCGAUACGACCGGCCUGGAGGGGCGUAGGGGGACCUGGAACUUCCGGUGGAGCGGUGAAAUGCGUAGAUAUCAGAAGGAACAUCAGUGGCGAAGGCGGCUUCCUGGACCAAUACUGACGAUCAGGUGCGAAAGCGUGGGGAGCAAACAGG
This 254-nucleotide ribosomal RNA is filed under the name uncultured bacterium. Its description in RNAcentral is "partial 16S ribosomal RNA". It matches the Rfam family "Bacterial small subunit ribosomal RNA", at positions 524 to 776 of the family's 1533-position model. The record is from RNAcentral.